AGUGAACGCUGGCGGUAGGCCUAACACAUGCAAGUCGAACGGCAGCACAGUAAGAGCUUGCUCUUACGAGUGGCGAGUGGCGGACGGGUGAGGAAUACAUCGGAAUCUACUUUUUCGUGGGGGAUAACGUAGGGAAACUUACGCUAAUACCGCAUACGACCUACGGGUGAAAGCAGGGGAUCUUCGGACCUUGCGCGAUUGAAUGAGCCGAUGUCGGAUUAGCUAGUUGGCGGGGUAAAGGCCCACCAAGGCGACGAUCCGUAGCUGGUCUGAGAGGAUGAUCAGCCACACUGGAACUGAGACACGGUCCAGACUCCUACGGGAGGCAGCAGUGGGGAAUAUUGGACAAUGGGCGCAAGCCUGAUCCAGCCAUACCGCGUGGGUGAAGAAGGCCUUCGGGUUGUAAAGCCCUUUUGUUGGGAAAGAAAAGCAGCAGGUUAAUACCCCGCUGCUCUGACGGUACCCAAAGAAUAAGCACCGGCUAACUUCGUG
RNAcentral lists this ribosomal RNA (492 nucleotides) under uncultured bacterium. RNAcentral's name for it is "partial 16S ribosomal RNA". It matches the Rfam family "Bacterial small subunit ribosomal RNA", at positions 29 to 507 of the family's 1533-position model. The record is from RNAcentral.